CGGCCGAUAUCAGAUUAGGUAGUUGGUGAGGUAAAGGCUCACCAAGCCAACGAUCUGUAGCUGGUCUGAGAGGACGACCAGCCACACUGGGACUGAGACACGGCCCAGACUCCUACGGGAGGCAGCAGUGGGGAAUUUUGGACAAUGGGCGCAAGCCUGAUCCAGCCAUUCCGCGUGCAGGACGAAGGCCUUCGGGUUGUAAACUGCUUUUGUACGGAACGAAAAGGCUCUGGUUAAUACCUGGGGCUCAGGACGGUACCGUAAGAAUAAGCACCGGCUAACUACGUGCCAGCAGCCGCGGUAAUACGUAGGGUGCAAGCGUUAAUCGGAAUUACUGGGCGUAAAGCGUGCGCAGGCGGUGAUGUAAGACAGAUGUGAAAUGCCCGGGCUCAACCUGGGAACUGCAUAUGUGACUGUAUAGCUAGAGUACGGUAGAGGGGGAUGGAAUUCCGCGUGUAGCAGUGAAAUGCGUAGAUAUGCGGAGGAACACCGAUGGCGAAGGCAAUCCCCUGGGCCUGCACUGACGCUCAUGCACGAAAGCGUGGGGAGCAAACAGGAUUAGAUACCCU
Molecule: ribosomal RNA, 569 nt
Filed under: uncultured Limnohabitans sp.
Lineage: Bacteria; Pseudomonadati; Pseudomonadota; Betaproteobacteria; Burkholderiales; Comamonadaceae
Description: bacterial SSU rRNA
Rfam family: Bacterial small subunit ribosomal RNA
Source: RNAcentral